Eptesicus fuscus (big brown bat) is the source of this 286-nucleotide long non-coding RNA. RefSeq lists it as uncharacterized. Lineage: Eukaryota; Metazoa; Chordata; Mammalia; Chiroptera; Vespertilionidae. The record is from RefSeq and is a predicted model, not a curated record. The transcript is spliced from 3 exons.
CUCUGCAGAAACUCAGUCUCCACCACUCAGAUUGAAGGAGACCAGAGGAAUUCUAGGUCACUGGGCUCUCCUCACUGAAUCGUCCUGAGACCACUCAAAAUGUGAUUUAUUUGUCCCCCAGCCAGUAGAAGGUUCCAUGUAGGUGAAAAUGGAUAUUUGGCUAGUGAAAGAGAAAUGGAAAUGAGACCCGCAGGCUGACUUAUUCAGGAGAAAGAGGGAAAAAAGACCCAGGAAGCGGAGAGUUGAGAAAAUGUUGGAGAGCACUUCACGCCCCGCUGUCAAUCUG